This 252-nucleotide unclassified non-coding RNA is filed under the name plant metagenome. RNAcentral's name for it is "partial contains small subunit ribosomal RNA and internal transcribed spacer 1". The stretch from base 1 to 47 matches the Rfam family "Eukaryotic small subunit ribosomal RNA", at positions 1785 to 1831 of the family's 1831-position model. The record is from RNAcentral.
AAUGUCGUAACAAGGUUUCCGUAGGUGAACCUGCGGAAGGAUCAUUACGCAUAGGGACUGGCAGCCGAGUCCCCACCUAGCGAAAAUUUAGGUGGGGUAAGGUGCGCCAGCAACCCCCCUGAGCAUAUCGCCGGGCCACCCUGCCUUUUGAGCACCAUUUUCGUUUUCCUCGGCGGGCUUGCCCGCCACUGGGGACCCUCAAAAAGCCUUUUGGUAAUGGAAGUAACAGUAUCAUAAAAAACUUUAUCACAA